RNAcentral lists this ribosomal RNA (443 nucleotides) under uncultured bacterium. Its description in RNAcentral is "partial 16S ribosomal RNA". It matches the Rfam family "Bacterial small subunit ribosomal RNA", at positions 338 to 795 of the family's 1533-position model. The record is from RNAcentral.
CCUACGGGGGGCAGCAGUGGGGAAUAUUGGGCAAUGGGCGCAAGCCUGACCCAGCAACGUCGCGUGAAGGAAGACGGCUUUCGGGUUGUAAACUUCUUUUCUCAGGGACGAAGAAAGUGACGGUACUUGCGGAAUAAGCCACGGCUAACUACGUGCCAGCAGCCGCGGUAAUACGGAGGUGGCAAGCGUUAUCCGGAUUUCUUGGGUGUAACGGGCGUGUAGGCGGGAGCGCAAGUCAGAUGUGAAAACUCAGGGCUCAACCCUGGGCCUGCAUUUGAAACUGUGUUUCUUGAGUGCGGGGGAGGCAAGCGGAAUGCCGUGUGUAGCGGUGAAAUGCGUAGAUAGACGGAGGAACACCAAUGGCGAAGGCGGAUUGCUGGACAGUAACUGACGCUGAGGCGCGAAAGCGUGGGGAGCAAACAGGAUUAGAUACCCGUGUAGUC